CAGGUACAGCAGGUGAUUGCUAUUCUUUGAGAAUAGAGGAAAGUCCGGGCUGCAAUGAGACAGGGUUCCGUCUAACGGACGGCCAGGGUAACCUGAGGGAAAGUGCAACAGAGAGUAGACCGCCAUCUCUUUCCGAGAUGGUAAGGGUGAAACGGCGGGGUAAGAGCCCACCGGUGUCUUGAGCGAUCUUGACAGCCUUGUAAACCCAACCCGCAGCAAGAAGCGUAUGGUAAAUGUCUCAUCGUGUAACGCUUUGCUAAAGUGCGAUUGUGAAAUCGUACGCAGAUGAAUAAUCACCCAACGACAAAACCCGGCUUAUCGCUGUGCCUGUCCU
This 334-nucleotide RNase P RNA is filed under the name Campylobacteraceae bacterium 4484_4. Its description in RNAcentral is "RNase P RNA component class A". It matches the Rfam family "Bacterial RNase P class A". From Rfam's summary of the family: Ribonuclease P (RNase P) is a ubiquitous endoribonuclease, found in archaea, bacteria and eukarya as well as chloroplasts and mitochondria. Its best characterised activity is the generation of mature 5'-ends of tRNAs by cleaving the 5'-leader elements of precursor-tRNAs. The record is from RNAcentral. Lineage: Bacteria; Pseudomonadati; Campylobacterota; Epsilonproteobacteria; Campylobacterales; Campylobacteraceae.